GGAGAGGUGGCCGAGAGGCUGAAGGCGGCGGUUUGCUAAACCGUUAUACGAUUAAUAGUCGUAUCGAGGGUUCGAAUCCCUCCCUCUCCG
Molecule: transfer RNA, 90 nt
Filed under: Neorickettsia helminthoeca str. Oregon
Lineage: Bacteria; Pseudomonadati; Pseudomonadota; Alphaproteobacteria; Rickettsiales; Anaplasmataceae
Description: tRNA-Ser (GCT) (tRNA-Ser-GCT-1-1)
Rfam family: tRNA
About the family: Transfer RNA (tRNA) molecules are approximately 80 nucleotides in length. Their secondary structure includes four short double-helical elements and three loops (D, anti-codon, and T loops). Further hydrogen bonds mediate the characteristic L-shaped molecular structure. tRNAs have two regions of fundamental functional importance: the anti-codon, which is responsible for specific mRNA codon recognition, and the 3' end, to which the tRNAs corresponding amino acid is attached (by aminoacyl-tRNA synthetases). tRNAs cope with the degeneracy of the genetic code in two manners: having more than one tRNA (with a specific anti-codon) for a particular amino acid; and 'wobble' base-pairing, i.e. permitting non-standard base-pairing at the 3rd anti-codon position.
Source: Rfam by way of RNAcentral